CUGGUGCUGCACCACCCUCCCGACGUCCGCCCCACGAGCUGCUGCGCAGCGGUGUGCGAACGCUGACACAGAUGCAUAGUUUUGCUAUCAGAUGACACCUAGGCUAGCAGAUGAAUGAAUGCUAAAGGAUUACGGAAGUCAUGCAGGUGACAGGCUGCUCGGCGUCCAUGGGGCUUGCUACCAAUCCACAUGCAUCAGGAAAGCCAUUUGCUGCAUUAGAACAUGUUGUUAACGUUUCAGAUAUUUAUGUGAUGCAUGAGUAGCUGUGAGAUUCUGAAUGUUCAUGUGAUAGGUUCUAUUGUUGUUGACAGUCUACAGAUUUGUCUUUCUUUCUCUAAUCACUCAUUUUAACGGUUGUCCUGUUUAAAUUGUUGAUUAUUCCUUUGACGAAGGUAUCUGUGACCUGUUCGCUCAAUCUUGAACUUUCAGUGGUUCUGCAUUUAUGACUAAUGUCUUACCAAAUUGUUAUGACCUGUUAGUAUGCUGAUGUUUUGUGCCAUUAUAACUGAAAAUACUCUUUAGUGGCUUCAGGCCAAGGUUAUUGAUUCCAUAGUGGAGAUUAGUUUUUUUGACACUGUCACACUGGCCGUGCAGCACACAUUUAACUGAACAAUCAUGGCUCUGCCUGAUUUAAUAAUAGUGUACGACAAUUUUUAUAUCCAAUAACUGUUAGGUUCUGCUUAAAAAUUUUCCUGGUUUUGAUGAAGUUAUGUGCGAUCUAAGAGAAGAGUUUACAAUAGUUAGUACUUAGUAGUUACUAAUUAAUUAGCUAAUCAUAUAAACGAUUAAUAAACACACCUUUGCUCUCUACCAGCACAAGUGUUGAGGAUCUUUGUUUAUGAAUUUUUUUGCAGAUUUCAUAUCCCCCUUUCGAAUCACUAGUGGCACUAUAAUAAAAUACUUCUUUGUCAAUCAGGAUGCCUGUUUAUGGAUAUGAAAUCAGCAUCCCUGAUGCAGUCAGUUGGCCCCUCUGUAGGGUGUUGGGAUUGAUUCUGCUGUGGAUGCCCAUGUUUUACCAACAAGCUGGUAGCGAUGAGCUGAUGCAUGACAAUGUGCAGCGAUGCAGGAUCAAGCUCCCAGCAGAGAGGGCAAAGUGUGGCAGCCCCUCCUUUCAGAUCCGUUUCCCUUGCACACUGAAGAUGCUGCCGGGGACGGGAAGACUCGCACGUGACCACGGCGUCAGCGGCGGCGGCGGCGAACAUCGGCUGUCUCGACGGCCGCAGUCGUGGACGUGGAGGAUGCGCCGGAUCGUCGAUGGAUGGGGACGGCGGCGUGGGCUCGGUGGCAGGCGAGUCUCGGUGUGGUCCACAGCUCGUCCUCGACUAGCUUGCUGCGUUGAAGAGCGGCGGCGAGUUCGUCCUUGGUAGCGGCAGCUUCCUAUCCCUUCCCUUUGCCAUGGAUUUCUUCAGAUUAAUGAGAGCUCUGAUUCUUCCCCCAGCGCAAGGAUGUUUCCUGGUCAGAGGUUGGUCCAUACGAAGGCUACCAAUCCAAGUAUGGAGGUCUUUUGGUGCACGUAGAACGUGUUUGAGGUUCUCCUCAGACUAGAACAGAAAGCGCCGCGUGGUGAUGCCGCACCAGUGCUGGCUCAUGGUCUUGCUUCGACCUGUGACUCUUUGAGAGGGCCAAUGCUCUGUAACACAUCAAGGCAGAAGGGAGCAUGAGGCAAAGGCUCAAACAAGUCUCCACGGAUCGGAAGAGGAAUGUUUCUGACAAAGCUGUUGGUGAAUGGUGACUUCGUCGAUGGUCAUCUCUCCCGCGUGCCAAAGAAAUUGCAGUUCUUCCUUAUUCGAGAAAAAUUGCAGUUCUUCCCAAGGUUGAAUGAACAAUGAGCUGUUGCUACUGGUCUCAAGAAGAUAAGGGCAACAAUGUGCCUCUCUCCACUCGCUGACUAGCCACCUCAGAGAGGGAAGAUGUGCAGGCAAAAUAUCCGGUGGAAACCAGGUACUCGGUGGAAGCGUAGAAACCAAAUUUCAAUCCGUUAAAUACAAAACGUGCGGUCCAGAUGAGCUCUCGACCAGCCCAGCACAUUUUUGACGAACAGCCCCCCGCGCUCCACUCGAAGCAUUUCGCAGGAAACACCCUAUUCUAUGGACUAUAUGCGCAAAAGCCCUGCCGUGUCUUCUUCUCCACACCUCUCCCUGGUUCUGUUCUGUUGGCUUGUUCGCCCCCAAAACUCAAACCAUGUCGAGCUAGGGUUUUACAUGAGGCAACAGCUCCGCAGCAGCUCCAAUCCUCCACUCGAAAUACCCUUCAGUUGAAGAUUGUGGGUCAGCACGGGGACGACGGGUGGCCGGAGGGACUUGGGACAGCAACGGUGGCGACUCCGGCGGCGGCGGCGGCGACUCCGGCGGCGGCGGCGGCGACUCCGGCGGCGGCUUCAGUGCCACUAAGCUCACGAUUGAUGCCUCCCCAAUAUUGAUUUGCUACCAGGUUUGCUUCACGAGUGGCUUCAUCAUCCUAGGCUGCCUCCAAGUCAGGGCAUAAUUCAUGGUUGUCCAGCAUGCAUAUCAGUGCAUUUUUCUUUCAAGUUCUGCCACCAAUGCAGCACAUGGUACUGAUUGAGAUGAUGAAUCUGCCUUGCGUCAGCAUGUAGAUCCCAUAAGCACGACAAAUUUGACACUGGAAUUGAUAUGAUUGAAAGACAUAAGAUUUAUUCAUCAUAGUCUUACACGGCUGCUUAAUUUGGCCUUCUUAUAGUUGUUUAGUGUGUCUGUGGUUGAAAUUGAUGAUUUCUGCAAGUAGUAAAAUUUCAUUUAUGUGAUACAGUCAAAGGUUCAUGUAACUCAUAAAGAUGUGGUUGUCAAUCUAUAAACUUUGUAAUGAUCAAAUGCAAUGCGAUUUAAAAUUUAGCUGAGUAAUUAAUGUGCUUUUCAGAGCCGAUAUAUAUGCCCAUUUAUUGUAAUGGAAUCUUAUUGACAUGUGACAAUAGCAAUACAAUUGAACUGAGAUGAAUUGCUAGUAUAAGUUUA
Panicum virgatum (switchgrass) is the source of this 2969-nucleotide long non-coding RNA. RefSeq lists it as uncharacterized. Lineage: Eukaryota; Viridiplantae; Streptophyta; Magnoliopsida; Poales; Poaceae. The transcript is spliced from 8 exons. The record is from RefSeq and is a predicted model, not a curated record.